UGGCUUUAGAGGCAGAUAGACGUAAUGGUAGUUUUCUGUAAAACAAGGAAAAUGGGAUCCAAACCGGGGACUUUCCAGCGUAUUGUCUGAAAUGUAUACUUUGUGUAAUAGCGGACCGGACUGUGUGAGGUUAAUCGGCUUUGAAGGGGAAAGCUGUGUCUACAGCUCAGUGCUGAAUUCUGCCGCCGGGAGUGACGUGGCCGCGGACUGUCAUCGAGGGUUCAUUGUUCUGGUGCAGCAGUUGGAUCGCCGAUCUUCUUUGUGGUGCAGGAGUUGGAUCGCCGACCUUCUUUGUGGUGCAGGAGUUGGAUCGCCGACUUUCUUUCUGGUGAAGGAACUGGAUCGCUGACCUUCGACAUCAAUGGUUUUUUUUUUUUGUCGUGACAGGGAGUACAGCUUCUACAGGUGACAUGGGAAUGACCAAACGUUGUGCACAACGGGAGUAAAAGAGAGUGCAGCAAAAAUCAGUUAAUUUUGGCCAAAUAAUUUGUUAUUGAAAAAAAAAUUUGGAUGUGUCUUGGAGAUAAUUAAAUAAUAAUAUUGAUAUCUCAAAAAAAAAUAAGUGAUUUGAGUCAGUGUGUCAUUUCUCUGCAUGAAAUCAUUCCUGUCCUACUGCCUAAGACUCAGAAAUUCGUCUAGGUAAAUAUAUCGGUCUUUAAACCUCGAACCAGGACAUCACUGAUGAAUUGUGGUGAUCCCAGACCGUGAGAUUUAUAUUUUUUGCAGAUUUGUUUAGACUCGGUUACAUAGCCAUUCUUGAUGUGUAUUUAAUAUAUGUUAUAUGUUUAUACAUGUAGCAGUCAAUAAUUUCAUUUGAAAGUCUUGCUAGCCCCUAUAAAUAGGAAUAAAUGAUUCCCCCUUUUGCACCGCAUGAGGUAUUGUGUAUAACACCACUUUUCAGCUGGAAAUUUAAUUGUGCAUAUGUCUCAUUGUUUCGGAUAAAUGCAGAAUUCACCCGCAUCACCACUGUUCCCCUCCUGUCCAGAUUCAUGUCCAAACUGGAUCAUUACUCGAACCAGUUGAUGAAGGUGUUUAGAAAAAAGGGUGGAGCAGCAAGACACAAAAUAAGCAUGAUCAUGGCAGCCAUGGACAAGAAUCCUACUGUUGAAACAUGAAGAGAGUGUGUCCUCAAAGCACUUUGUGUGUACCUCAGUGAAAAUCCUGAAAAGUUCAUAAAGGACUAUGUGGUUGUUGAACCUGGUGCAAUGACAGCAAUGGAGGGAAAGGUCAUGGAAAUCUGUUAUCCGACACGAGGGAGCAGAGCCCACAGAGUCGCCUGAGGAUGUUGGCAUCAUAAUCGAGGGAGUUGAAGUGUUGUAAGAUCUGAGAGAUGUGGCAAGUGGGUACAGUCGUGUUUGGCGUCAUCUACAGUUUAAACCUCAGCUACCCCAAAGACCGGAGAUACAUGUUUGGAUUUUUUCAAAAAGUUUUAAUGGAUUUGGAUGGCAACAGACUUUCCAUAAAGGUGCAGAUCUUCAAGAACCGACUACAUGAGUAAUCCCAACUGCAGUACACAACUGACUGAGUCUCCGCUGGUCACGCUGCCCGGGCUCCCCUGUCACUCCUCUCCACCACCAAACUCUGAACCAGCGUUCACCCGUGGAGGAGGAGGUGUCUCAUCCCUGCCUGCCUCAGCCCGUCCCCGCUGCCCCAGCCUCUGGAUCUCCCAGCAUGCCACAACCACUCUCUGUCGCUCGCCCACCCCAGCGGGGAACUAACCUGGACCGCAGGUCUCCAGUAGCCUGUCUGCCCCACUUCCAGUCCGUAGUGAGUUCCUGAGUUUUUCCUGGCUUUAGUUUCACGUUUAUCUAGUCUUUAGUUUCAGUCACUCACUCCCCCUUAGGUCUUUUGGCAUACCUAAUUUGUAGC
Long non-coding RNA from Amphiprion ocellaris (clown anemonefish), 1869 nucleotides. The record is from Ensembl. NCBI's taxonomy places the organism in Eukaryota, Metazoa, Chordata, Actinopteri, Pomacentridae.